Small nuclear RNA from Mustela erminea (ermine), 148 nucleotides. RefSeq annotates it as U4 spliceosomal RNA. Lineage: Eukaryota; Metazoa; Chordata; Mammalia; Carnivora; Mustelidae. The transcript has a single exon. The record is from RefSeq and is a predicted model, not a curated record.
AGCUUUGCGCAGUGGCAGUAUCGUAGCCAAUGAGGUUUAUCCGAGGCGCGAUUAUUGCUAAUUGAAAAUAAAAUGCAUGACAACACAAUGAUAGAAGAAAGAAAUGAAACAAUUCUAUUAUAAGAUUCUGUGCUAAUAAUUCCACUUA